This 429-nucleotide ribosomal RNA is filed under the name bacterium. RNAcentral describes it as "partial 16S ribosomal RNA". It matches the Rfam family "Bacterial small subunit ribosomal RNA", at positions 355 to 776 of the family's 1533-position model. The record is from RNAcentral.
UAGGGAAUCUUCGGCAAUGGGGGCAACCCUGACCGAGCAACGCCGCGUGAGUGAAGAAGGUUUUCGGAUCGUAAAGCUCUGUUGUAAGAGAAGAACGUGUAUGAGAGUGGAAAGUUCACACAGUGACGGUAACUUACCAGAAAGGGACGGCUAACUACGUGCCAGCAGCCGCGGUAAUACGUAGGUCCCGAGCGUUGUCCGGAUUUAUUGGGCGUAAAGCGAGCGCAGGCGGUUUAAUAAGUCUGAAGUUAAAGGCAGUGGCUUAACCAUUGUUCGCUUUGGAAACUGUUAAACUUGAGUGCAGAAGGGGAGAGUGGAAUUCCAGGUGUAGCGGUGAAAUGCGUAGAUAUAUGGAGGAACACCGGUGGCGAAAGCGGCUCUCUGGUCUGUAACUGACGCUGAGGCUCGAAAGCGUGGGGAGCAAACAGG